GGAUGGGUGGCCGAGUGGUCUAUGGCGUUAGUCUUGAAAACUAAUGAUCGAGUAAUUGGUCCGUGGGUUCGAAUCCCACCUCAUCCG
This 87-nucleotide transfer RNA is filed under the name Candidatus Methanofastidiosia archaeon. RNAcentral describes it as "tRNA-Ser". It matches the Rfam family "tRNA". From Rfam's summary of the family: Transfer RNA (tRNA) molecules are approximately 80 nucleotides in length. Their secondary structure includes four short double-helical elements and three loops (D, anti-codon, and T loops). The record is from RNAcentral. Lineage: Archaea; Methanobacteriati; Methanobacteriota; Candidatus Methanofastidiosia.